AGCUGCGGUCCCGGAGCGGGCGAGGUGGUGGAGAGGGGGCUGCUUUCACCCUCUUGCGGGGAGGCCCCCUGGCUUCAGACUUAACUACUCGCAAAGUUGGGGCCGAACUUUGGGGCUUGACUUGUCUUGGCCGCCUGUGGAGCGCUGGAGAAGUGAAAAGGGCAUCAAGAGCAGCUGGUCUUGGCCGUCGCGCUGUUGUCUGGUCCCUAGCUGUUGGUAGUAAGUCCGGUUAUAAAUUUUUCUCCCUUUCUUCUGUGGAUAAGCUGGAACAGAUCUAUGAAUGCACCGAUACGGAAGAUGUGUGCAUUGUAGAGAGAUUGUUCUCCAGCAGCCUAGUGGCCAUCGUGAGCCUUAAAGCACCAAGGAAGCUAAAGGUUUGCCACUUUAAGAAGGGAACUGAGAUCUGCAACUACAGCUACUCCAACACGAUUCUGGCUGUGAAGCUCAACAGGCAGAGGCUGAUAGUAUGCCUGGAGGAGUCCCUGUACAUCCACAACAUUCGGGACAUGAAGGUGCUGCAUACGAUCAGGGAGACGCCUCCAAACCCUGCAGGCCUGUGUGCGCUGUCAAUCAACAACGACAACUGCUACUUGGCGUACCCCGGGAGCGCGACCAUCGGAGAGGUGCAGGUCUUCGAUACCAUUAAUUUGAGAGCUGCAAACAUGAUUCCGGCUCACGACAGUCCUUUAGCGGCACUGGCCUUUGACGCAAGUGGAACUAAACUUGCCACGGCUUCGGAGAA
This 742-nucleotide small RNA is filed under the name Pan troglodytes (chimpanzee). Its description in RNAcentral is "processed transcript". Lineage: Eukaryota; Metazoa; Chordata; Mammalia; Primates; Hominidae. The record is from RNAcentral.